GACGAACGCUGGCGGCGUGCCUAAUACAUGCAAGUUGAGCGAUGAAGAUUGGUGCUUGCACCCAUUUGAAGAGCAGCGAACGGGUGAGUAACGCGUGGGGAAUCUGCCUUUGAGCGGGGGACAACAUUUGGAAACGAAUGCUAAUACCGCAUAACAACUUUAAACAUAAGUUUUAAGUUUGAAAGAUGCAAUUGCAUCACUCAAAGAUGAUCCCGCGUUGUAUUAGCUAGUUGGUGAGGUAAAGGCUCACCAAGGCGAUGAUACAUAGCCGACCUGAGAGGGUGAUCGGCCACAGUGGGACUGAGACACGGCCCAAACUCCUACGGGAGGCAGCAGUAGGGAAUCUUCGGCAAUAGACGAAAGUCUGACCGAGCAACGCCGCGUGAGUGAAGAAGGUUUUCGGAUCGUAAAACUCUGUUGGUAGAGAAGAACGUUGGUGAGAGUGGAAAGCUCAUCAAGUGACGGUAACUACCCAGAAAGGGACGGCUAACUACGUG
Molecule: ribosomal RNA, 497 nt
Filed under: uncultured bacterium
Lineage: Bacteria
Description: partial 16S ribosomal RNA
Rfam family: Bacterial small subunit ribosomal RNA
Source: RNAcentral